ACCCCACUGCUCCUCCUCUCUUCAUUCUUUUCCUCUUCAUCUUUGCUAACAAAAUAGCGACCCCGUCCCACCAUCAUAAUCGUCGGAGUUGACCACCGGCGAUGGCUACUAUUACUGCUGCAACGGGGUGAACGACAAUCCCUAGCCGCUAUCCAGCUCACCGGAAAACGAGCAAAUCUUCCGCUCCUUCACCACCGAACUCGCCGGAACACACAGAGACAGAAAUGCAAGGACACACACACAUAGAGCCGUUCCUGCUUCUUCUUCUUGAACUUUUCUUUGUUUGCUCUUUUUCUCUUUCCAUGACAGGAGAGUCCAUGAAGCCCCAACUAAUGAAAUUAAUUCAUCACUGUCAUUCUCGCAAGUUACUCAAAGAGAUAAGCUGUUUCUGAUCUUAAACCUACACACACCUUAACCUUUCUUCUUCAUCAGUACACUAGCCCCACCCCAUCUCCAACACCAGACGGAACUCUCACACUGACUCGGCAGAAACAGAGGAUUUGGAACAGCUUUCAAGUUGUUGAAACCAUUUGAUUAUGAGCUUGUUCGUUUGUUUUGUUAGUUGAGCUUUGUAGCUUUUUGGCGCUUGUGUUUCAAAAUUGUCGUAACAUUAAGCUUCAGAUUCAUUGAGACGUAGUUGAGUUGAAGUUCGCUCCCAUUCGAGGUUGUCCGUUCAAGGUUUUUCGGGCAGAUUCGCAGUUCUAUCGAGUUUGUCGCUGUCCAAAUUUUUCUGAGUUAAACAUUGUUGAGAUUCAAAAUUACUUUAUUUUAAGGUCUAUUUCUAUACCUUCAUUAUUCUCACUAUU
RNAcentral lists this long non-coding RNA (806 nucleotides) under Nicotiana tabacum (common tobacco). RNAcentral's name for it is "long non-coding RNA (NTAB_LNC013215)". The record is from RNAcentral. Lineage: Eukaryota; Viridiplantae; Streptophyta; Magnoliopsida; Solanales; Solanaceae.